Molecule: ribosomal RNA, 460 nt
Filed under: uncultured bacterium
Lineage: Bacteria
Description: partial 16S ribosomal RNA
Rfam family: Bacterial small subunit ribosomal RNA
Source: RNAcentral
CCUACGGGUGGCAGCAGUGAGGAAUAUUGGUCAAUGGACGAGAGUCUGAACCAGCCAAGUAGCGUGAAGGAUGACUGCUCUAUGGGUUGUAAACUUCUUUUAUAAAGGAAUAAAACGAGGCACGUGUGCCCUUUUGCAUGUACUUUAUGAAUAAGGAUCGGCUAACUCCGUGCCAGCAGCCGCGGUAAUACGGGGGAUCCGAGCGUUAUCCGGAUUUAUUGGGUUUAAAGGGAGAGUAGAUGGGUUGUUAAGUCAGUUGUGAAAGUUUGCGGCUCAACCGUAAAAUUGCAAUUGAUACUGGCAGUCGUGAGUGCAGGUGAGGUAGGCGGAAUUCGUGGUGUAGCGGUGAAAUGCUUAGAUAUCACGAAGAACCCCGGUUGCGAAGGCAGCUUACUAGACUGUGACUGACAUUGAGGCUCGAAAGUGUGGGGAGCAAACAGGAUUAGAUACCCUUGUAGUC